RNAcentral lists this ribosomal RNA (510 nucleotides) under uncultured bacterium. Its description in RNAcentral is "partial 16S ribosomal RNA". It matches the Rfam family "Bacterial small subunit ribosomal RNA", at positions 28 to 507 of the family's 1533-position model. The record is from RNAcentral.
GACGAACGCUGGCGGCGUGCUUAACACAUGCAAGUCGAACGAAGAGCGAUGGAAGCUUGCUUCUAUCAAUCUUAGUGGCGAACGGGUGAGUAACGCGUAAUCAACCUGCCCUUCAGAGGGGGACAACAGUUGGAAACGACUGCUAAUACCGCAUACGAUCUAAUCUCGGCAUCGAGGAUAGAUGAAAGGUGGCCUCUACAUGUAAGCUAUCACUGCAGGAGGGGAUUGCGUCUGAUUAGCUAGCUGGAGGGGUAAAGGCCCACGAAGGCGAUGAUCAGUAGCCGGUAUGGGAGGAGGAACGGCCACAUUGGGACUGAGACACGGCACAGACUCCUACGGGAGGGAGCAGUGGGGAAUCUUCCGCAAUGGACGAAAGUCUGACGGAGAAACGCCGCGUGAGGGAUGACGGCCUUCGGGUUGUAAAGCUCGGUUAAUCGGGACGAAAGGCCUUCUUGCGAAUAGUGAGAAGGAUUGACGGUACCGGAAUAGAAAGCCACGGCUAACUACGUG